Molecule: ribosomal RNA, 459 nt
Filed under: uncultured bacterium
Lineage: Bacteria
Description: partial 16S ribosomal RNA
Rfam family: Bacterial small subunit ribosomal RNA
Source: RNAcentral
CUACGGGUCGCUCCAGUAAGGAAUAUUGCGCAAUGGAGGCAACUCUGACGCAGCCAUGCCGCGUGCAGGAAGAAGGCCUUAUGGGUCGUAAACUGCUUUUAUUUAGGAAUAAACCCCCGAACGUGUUCGGGGCUGAAGGUACCAAACGAAUAAGCACCGGCUAACUCCGUGCCAGCAGCCGCGGUAAUACGGAGGGUGCAAGCGUUAUCCGGAUUUAUUGGGUUUAAAGGGUGCGCAGGCGGGCUAUUAAGUCAGUGGUGAAAUCCCGGGGCUCAACUCCGGAACUGCCAUUGAUACUGAUAGUCUUGAGUUUGGUUGAAGUGGGCGGAAUGUAGCAUGUAGCGGUGAAAUGCAUGGAUAUGCUACAGAACACCAAUCGCGAAGGCAGCUCACUAAGCCAAAACUGACGCUCAUGCACGAAAGCGUGGGGAUCAAACAGGAUUAGAUACCCCUGUAGUC